GGAAGCAAAAGUCGUAACAAGGUCUCCGUUGGUGAACCAGCGGAGGGAUCAUUACAGGACUCGCAAGACUCCUACAACCCUGUGAACUUAACUAUAAGCACGUUGCUUCGGCGGGUGUCUCGGAGGGGGUUCUCCCUCCCCGAGACGCUAAACCCGCCGGCAGCUUACUAUACUCUGUCUCUUUGCGUUGGCAUCUCGAGUACAAUCAAACAAGUUAAAACUUUCAACAACGGAUCUCUUGGUUCUG
RNAcentral lists this unclassified non-coding RNA (247 nucleotides) under plant metagenome. Its description in RNAcentral is "partial contains small subunit ribosomal RNA, internal transcribed spacer 1, and 5.8S ribosomal RNA". The stretch from base 1 to 54 matches the Rfam family "Eukaryotic small subunit ribosomal RNA", at positions 1778 to 1831 of the family's 1831-position model. The record is from RNAcentral.